This 1326-nucleotide ribosomal RNA is filed under the name metagenome. Its description in RNAcentral is "bacterial LSU rRNA". It matches the Rfam family "Bacterial large subunit ribosomal RNA", at positions 1561 to 2925 of the family's 2925-position model. The record is from RNAcentral.
GGUGGAUGGGGAGCAACCUAGUUGUGCGUGUGUAAAGGUAGUGCCAAGAAAAGCGAUGAUCAUGUUGAAAAUCAAUUCCCGGUACCCGAAACCGACACAGGUGGGCAAGUAGAGAAUACUAAGGGGCGCGAGGUAACUCUCUCCAAGGAACUCGGCAAAAUGACCCCGUAACUUAGGGAGAAGGGGUGCCACCGAGAGGUGGUCGCAGUGAAGAGGCCCAGGCGACUGUUUAGCAAAAACAUAGGUCUCUGCAAACUCGAAAGAGGAGGUAUAGGGGCUGACGCCUGCCCAGUGCCGGAAGGUUAAAGAAGUUGGUCAGUCUUAGGAUGAAGCUAGCGACUGAAGCCCCGGUGAACGGCGGCCGUAACUAUAACGGUCCAAAGGUAGCGAAAUUCCUUGUCGGGUAAGUUCCGACCCGCACGAAAGGCGUAACGAUCUGGGCGCUGUCUCGGAGAGAGGCUCGGCGAAAUAGGAUUGUCUGUGAAGAUACGGACUACCUGCAUUUGGACAGAAAGACCCUAUGAAGCUUUACUAUAGCUUGGAAUUGUGUUCGGGCUUCCUGUGCGCAGGAUAGGUGGGAGGCGUAGAAGGUAUUCUUGUGGGGAUACUGGAGCCAACGGUGAGAUACCACUCUCAGGAGGCUAGAAUUCUAACUUAAUUAAGGACAGUUUCAGGUGGGUAGUUUGACUGGGGCGGUCGCCUCCAAAAAGGUAACGGAGGCGUACAAAGGUUCCCUCAGACUGGUUGGAAAUCAGUCGAAGAGUGCAAAGGCAGAAGGGAGCUUGACUGCGAGAAGUACAGUUCGAGCAGGGUGGAAACACGGUCUUAGUGAUCCGACGGUGCUGUGUGGAAGGGCCGUCGCUCAACGGAUAAAAGUUACUCUAGGAUAACAGGCUGAUCUCCCCCAAGAGUUCACAUCGACGGGGAGGUUUGGCACCUCGAUGUCGGCUCAUCGCAACCUGGGGCGGAAGUACGUCCCAAGGGUUGGGCUGUUCGCCCAUUAAAGCGGUACGUGAGCUGGGUUCAGAACGUCGUGAGACAGUUCGGUCCAUAUCCGAUGUAGGCGUGAGAAUAUUGAGAGGAGCCUUCCUUAGUACGAGAGGACCGGGAAGGACGCACCGCUGGUGUACCUGUUAUGAUGCCAAUUGUAAACGCAGGGUAGCCAAGUGCGGAGAGGAUAACCGCUGAAAGCAUCUAAGUGGGAAGCCCACCUCAAGAUGAGUAUUCUGGUGUAAGGUCACGGGAAGACGACCCGUAAAUAGGCACGAGGUGGAAGUGCAGAGAUGUAUGAAGCCGAAGUGUACUAAUAGACCGUCGGCUUGACCU